CGCCAAGAGCGCACAGACUUUGAAGCAGGAAAAGACAGUCUCUAGAGCAACAUGGAAAGGAUCCAGUAUUUGUUUUCAGGCAAAAGCAAGCCUCCAAAAGCCCCUUGGUUCUUCUCUGUGUGUCUCGCCCCUUCUGCCUUGUACACCAGACUGCCGGCAAGCAAGCGGGGAGGUGGCGAACAGCUGGGAUCCUCCAGUGAAAAGUUUGCUCAGCGCGAGAGAUGUCAAGAGGCUGGGAUUGUCGCCUAUCGGGAGAAGAAUUCCACAGAUGAAUUGGUUCUGCCCUGUAUCUUUGAAUGGUUUUUAUUUUCUGAUGUCCAGUGUGGCAGCCUGGCAGAGACAUUUAGUUGAAAGAACACGGGGCUCUGGAAACAACCAGUCCUCCUUGGUUCAUAUUCUCGUGUUGUCACUUAUUAACCGAGUGACAUUGGAGGUGAUAUGCUGCAGUUUAUCACUGAGGUCCUGAGAUGGUCCAUACUCUAAGCUUUGUGUCUACUGUGGGGGGCAAAGGGAAAACUUCCCCCUUGCUCUCUGAAGAGUCAUUGAAAAUCAACUGACAAAAGAAUCUAAAAUAUUCCUGGAAAUGGAGAGUCCUGACAUGAUGGCCCCAUGAUGAAAAGAACCCAGGUUCCUGAGUCACGACGUGGACAUGAGGCACCAAGGAGAAAACACGUGAACCUUAAUAAGUUUGGGGGUACACCUCCUUGCCAUGUGUUACCUUCUGUCAUGUUAUGAUGCAGCAAGAAGGCCCUAAUCAGUGGUAGUCCCUCAGUCCUGGACUUCUCAGCCUCCAGAACU
Molecule: long non-coding RNA, 798 nt
Filed under: Homo sapiens (human)
Lineage: Eukaryota; Metazoa; Chordata; Mammalia; Primates; Hominidae
Description: PREDICTED lncRNA (TCONS_00127472)
Source: RNAcentral